Macaca fascicularis (crab-eating macaque) is the source of this 1756-nucleotide long non-coding RNA. NCBI's taxonomy places the organism in Eukaryota, Metazoa, Chordata, Mammalia, Primates, Cercopithecidae. The record is from Ensembl.
CACAUACUUCUUGUUGGCUGGGGGACAAACAGAAGCAGAAGAGGACUGUCGCUGUUGUGGCAAUGGGCUCUGAUGGCCUGAGAUUCCAUCCUGGCUCCAUUGAUCAUCAGCUGUGACUUGAGACCAGUUACUUAGCUUGCCUUUCUCUCAGUUUCUUCAUAUGUAAAAUGGGAGUGAUAAUCAUAAUUAAUCAUAAUAAUAUCUACAGAUUAGAGUUCUUGGGAAGAUUAAAAGGGUCACUGCAGGUAAAGUUCAGCACGGAACAAGCACAAGAUAAAUGUUAGCGAACUUUAGUAACCAGUAGGCAGGCAGGUUUGGCAGAGAAUGUGGCUGUUUCAGGUUGCCAGGAUGCAGGUUGAGAUGUUGAUUUCAACAGUGAGUCCAGUUCAGCAGGGGCCGAGGUGAGUCAACACCCACCCCAACAUCCCAGGCACAUGCACACAGCUAAAGCAUGGCACCAGCCUUUCAGGAGGUAGGUUCCUACCUGUGGCUCCAGCUGCCCUCACAAUAUUUCAGGCAGUGCCCUCGGGUCCUCACUGGAGGGGGCACCUUAACUGGGUGAGCCUGCAGCUUUUCUGGGUGCCUAACCCCCACCCAGAGAUGAUCUGUGCCCCUUCUGUGCUGGCUUUGUUUAGGGGCACAGAGUGCAUUUGUUGGGCAGAGAUGUAUAAAGUUUUUUUUCCCCCCUUAAUUUUGUGGCAGGAUAAGACAGUUAAUCUGUUUUGACAUGCUAUCUAAAUGGCCCUCAGAUCAGUAUACGGAAGAAGCCAUCCAUAAGUCAUGUCUUUUAUACACAUGUACUGGUGUGUACAACAGGGAGAGUUAUAUUGGCUGCGAGAGGCAGAAUAAUAAUGGCCGUUAUUAUGGCGAAUUCAGGGUCGCCACAUUCACUCCACAUAUCAAAUCCUCUUUCAAUGAGGCCAGCUCCAUCAGCUGUCAGAUUCUAUUAAAUAUAUCCCUCAGACCCACUGACCAGCUGACAGGAGAGAAACUCAAAACCACACACCCCCCAUUAGCAUCAUAAAAUGUGAAGUCAGCUGGAAGGGAUGAUAACAGAACUGAAAACAGAAGAGAUGAAAAUCUGCAAUGCCCUUGUGUCCUCCUAAAUAGAAACCCCAAGAGUUACAAACACACCCAUAAAAUACCAAGGUAAAAACAACAGCAACAACAACAACAAAAACACGACAAAGAUCAUCCUGUUGUAUGCUUCAUAACACAGAAUGGUUCUUUUACCUUUUGUUAAUGUGAGAUUCGCAUAAAUGUUUCAUGAGGUUAAUACAAUGCAUAAACCAAAACGUUUAUUAGGCAACAUCUGUGCUGUUUUCCCAGAUAAUGCAAUGUUUCUUCUGAGUCAAUGAACUAUAACCUAUCAUAAGGUUUGGUUGUUAAAAUACUUGUACAAUGGUUGUGAUCAUAUUUAACGCUUUUGCAGAUGCUCUGGUUCUACCAGAGAAUUUCUUAAUCAGACAAGAGCUCAAGAUGGCUGGCACCUUAAAAGAAGGUGUAGAGGUUCCCUUGGAGACAGAGCAAGAGAGGAGAAGAAAGAUUUCUGUGAGCUGACUAGAUUUGCUUCUCUAUUUCUUCAAUCUAACUUUCUAAAUUUGGUUUUGUUUGCAGAGACAUUCACUUAAUACUUGAAGGAAAAAACAAUUAGAUCUGUACUUAGAAUCUACCAAGAAGCAGAGAGUGGGUCAAAAUGCCCAAUGGCUUUGUGCAGCUACAAUCCUAUCAUGAUAUUGGUUCCAUAUGGGACUCU